GAUGAACGCUGGCGGCGUGCCUAAUACAUGCAAGUCGAGCGAACGGACGAGAAGCUUGCUUCUCUGAUGUUAGCGGCGGACGGGUGAGUAACACGUGGAUAACCUACCUAUAAGACUGUGAUAACUUCGGGAAACCGGAGCUAAUACCGGAUGAUAUUUUGAACCGCAUGGUUCAAAAGUGAAAGACGGUCUUGCUGUCACUUAUAGAUGGAUCCGCGCUGCAUUAGCUAGUUGGUAAGGUAACGGCUUACCAAGGCAACGAUGCAUAGCCGACCUGAGAGGGUGAUCGGCCACACUGGAACUGAGACACGGUCCAGACUCCUAAGGGAGGCAGCAGUAGGGAAUCUUCCGCAAUGGGCGAAAGCCUGACGGAGCAACGCCGCGUGAGUGAUGAAGGUCUUCGGAUCGUAAAACUCUGUUAUUAGGGAAGAACAUAUGUGUAAGUAACUGUGCACAUCUUGACGGUACCUAAUCAGAAAGCCACGGCUAACUACGUG
RNAcentral lists this ribosomal RNA (497 nucleotides) under uncultured bacterium. RNAcentral describes it as "partial 16S ribosomal RNA". It matches the Rfam family "Bacterial small subunit ribosomal RNA", at positions 28 to 507 of the family's 1533-position model. The record is from RNAcentral.